GUUCUGCCAUCCUUAGUGAGUGGCUUCCAUCUGUAAGGUCACCUCAUGGCCCAGCAUGGCUGCCAGCACCCCUACCCUAUCUGUGUUACAGGCAGGAAGAAGAAGAAAUUGGGGAAGAACAAAAAGGGUGCCUUUCAAAUGCGUCAGCAUCUCUAAAGGAAUUCCCCAGAAAUCCCCCCAGUGACUUCUGUGUACAACUGACUGACCACAUCUGCAGGGGAGGCUGCAGAAUGUGGUUUUGUAGCGGGGCACAUUACCACAUUCAACAAUAUGGAGAUUCUGUUACUAAAGGAAAGGAGAGAGUAGACAAGGAGAAGGCAACUAGCGAUUCUGGACACGAGCUCCAGGAAGACAGUAAACAGAGGAGGAAAAGUACUGCCCUCCUCACCCAUCUGGGGUACACGGGACACUAUCAAUAAGCGAUAGAAGCCCAGGACUCAAGCUGUAGUUAACUUGCUUUCCUCUCUUCUAAAUGUUAAAGGAAAGUUCACAUCCAGGGUAGUUAGGAGACAGAGCAGCAUUUUAAAUGCUGUCAAAUUCCAGCUGAAUUCAGAAAAUUCAGAAUUUUCUGAACGGUGUUGCACAAGAUGUUUUUGAAUGUUACAUGAAAAAAUGAGUCCCUAAUCAAAAAGUUUGGGAAACUCUGGAUUGAACCAAGUUGUGCAGUUUAUUUGAUUGCAGAAAAUGUUGGGGUCACUGGUGUGCUCACUUGCCUUGUGAUUUUUUUUUUUAAAUUUUGGACAGAGAACAUUCCCAUAUUUGACCAUGGACUCACUUCUUACAGAAAAUCCCAUGGGAUAAACAUUCCACAUAGUAAACAUUUAGGAAAUAAUGGUGUGGUCAGAGGCUACAUCUUUACCCUGCCGGUUUUCUCAAAGCACUGCCCAUGGGCCACCUACACUAGAAUCUUCUUAGCUCCAUUACACAACUACUGAAUCACAGUCUCAGGCCUGUGGCUUGGAAAUCCGCAUUUUCAAAGCUCUCUGAGCUAUAGUCUUACGCUUAUUGAAGUUUGGGAUCCACCAGGUGACAGAGUUGUGCCUCCACUUUACAGACACCAUGACUUGAUCAAUUUACAUCCAGGUACCUCCUCCUGGCUCCCUAAAACUCAUUUCUCUCAUCACCAUGUGGUACCCGGAUAAUUUUCUCAGCUCUGUUCCAAGCAGCUUGCAUUUAUCUUUAUUGUUGCUCUUUUUAUUGAUUUAGGUCCAUCUCUGCAAUUCGUCAAGCUUGGAUUGCAUUUUAAUCUUGUCCUCCAAAGUAGCUAAGAUCCCUUCCAGCUUCCUAUCAUCCAGAAAUCUGAUUAGCUGGGUCUCGAUUCCAUCCUUCAAGCCAUUAAUGAAAACAUUAAAUGGUCCUGGCUUGGCAUGAAGGUCUUCAGGGUUCUCGGUGGGUAUAUGGCUCCCAUAUCUGCCACUAGCCUCUGCUUGGCAUAGUCCUGGGUUGGAGAUCAGGCCCAAUAUUUCAGUUGUAGGUUACUGCAUCCUCAUGCUUCCUCAUCCAUGCACGUAGUGCAAAUCUGUGUAGGAAAAAUACAACCUAGUAAUUAAUUAAUUCAUUAGACAUUAGAUCAACAAAUGUCUUUAAAACACUAGGUUUUUCCUCACACCAGUGGCAUGUUGACCUCAGAAUGAAGAAGCUAAUGCCGAGUGUGUGCAUUAGAAAGAUCGAUUUUUAUGUAAAAUGCAACUCGGAUCUGUCUUUGUGAUACACCAUUCCAGGAGGAGAUGACCUCAAGACAAGCAGCUUCCAUGCAAUACUGCAGCAAGGGCUUACUUUCCUGAGCAUUUCCCACGCUCCAAUCACUGCUCUAAUUCCUUUAGAUGUGUUAACUCACUUCCUGCUCACAAUACUUCUAUGAGAUGAGGAAAUGGAGGGACCAAGAUAACUGCCCCAGAGCCAACCCCAGGUCCAGCGGACUCUUUCCUCCUCAGAGGCUUGCCCCAGGAGAGACCAGCUGAACAGGCAUUGCCUGGGACUCCUUGGGGAAGUGGAGGUUGGAAAAGUAAGUGAAGGAACAAGCACUGGGGGGGGGGUCAGUGUUCAGUUCAUCCCUUGCUAUGGCCCCAUCCUACUCAGCCACUCAGGGCUGGGCCUGGCCUGACUCUAGGAGCACAAGAUGCAGCCUCUGUCCUCAGAGAUUCAAAGGUUGAGCAGACAUUGGCCACAGUCCCGGCUGGCUCCGACCGUGGCAGAGGCUGAACCAGAGCAGAGGAGGAAGCAGAGGGGUGGGCCGCAAGCUCUUCUUGGAGUCUCAGGAGCUGCAGAGAGCAAGCUGGGCUUCCUGGAGGAGGAGGCGUGAGAGUUGGGCCUUGAAGCACUCAGCAGCUGUUUCCUGAGCUGAUGUACAUCUCAUUAGUCUAUCAAGCUCCAACAGCCAAGGCCAAGGCCCCCAGAAUGAAAAACUGACGCAGCCACCCCUUCCUGUGCCAGAGACAGGAGAAGGGAGGGAGACUGACGGCCUUUGUUCUCUGAGCAAGACCGUAAAGCACUUCGCCUACAGGCCACAAGAGGGCGAUGGUGGUCCACACAUAAGAUCUUCCCAAAGAGCCAGCCAAAAACGCCUGCCUGGAGAAUCUGGAGGUUGUGAAAGGUGACUUUGUUAAGGAAGGGCGAUGGCCCUUCUCCCUGCCCCAGAGCUCUGAAAGCCUUUAAAGUGGCUUUAGCAGCGUGGUUUAAGAAUGGCUCCUUCGGUACAAGGACGGCCAUCACUGCUUCUCCUACUGUGUUUGAUGCCAGCGUUCUUCCCGUCUGCAGGGAAGGACGGAGAGUGAGGAGGGCACACAGGACGUAGCUGGCUCCUGGCCAUGGACGGUGACCGCUCUGGGGCCAGCAGGGUAGAGCUGCCUUCCUACAUCUGAGAACUCAAGGGCGAGAGGGAGGCAGGGCAGGGGAGAGGGUUGGUCUCAGUUCACAGGGCGACCCUCUGGCCCUGGUUCUGACGGCGACUCGCUGUGUAAGCUAAGGAGUGUCUCGCUCUGUACAGCGGGCAGGUGGUGGGUCUCUGCACGUCCAGCAUCUCCAGCUUUCCGUCCUCUGAGCUGUUUUGACAUGGGAGGCGCUGGCAGGGAGAGAGGGGUCACUGAUGUGGGAAGCUGGUGCAGAGCUGGGGAGUAGCUUGUGAUGCUGGAGAACCUGGAGAUGCCCCUCCCAUUCCUUGGGCCUCGACUGUCUCAUCUGUGGAAUGGGCGGGUCAGACUGGAUAAUCUCUAACCAUUGCUUCCCUUCACUUCUGUCCCAAUAAACACACACGGAGCUUUUUCGUUUGUCUUUUGUCUUUUUUUUUUUUUUUUUUUUUUUUUUAGAGACGAGGUCUCACUAUGUUGUUCCCCAGGUCUGAGUACAG
RNAcentral lists this long non-coding RNA (3346 nucleotides) under Homo sapiens (human). RNAcentral's name for it is "HSALNT0152982". Lineage: Eukaryota; Metazoa; Chordata; Mammalia; Primates; Hominidae. The record is from RNAcentral.